This 331-nucleotide ribosomal RNA is filed under the name uncultured Gammaproteobacteria bacterium. RNAcentral describes it as "bacterial SSU rRNA". It matches the Rfam family "Bacterial small subunit ribosomal RNA", at positions 1060 to 1395 of the family's 1533-position model. Lineage: Bacteria; Pseudomonadati; Pseudomonadota; Gammaproteobacteria. The record is from RNAcentral.
UCGUGUUGUGAAAUGUUGGGUUAAGUCCCGUAACGAGCGCAACCCUUAUCCUUAUUUGCCAGCGGUUAUCCGGGAACUCUAAGGAGACUGCCGGUGACAAACCGGAGGAAGGUGGGGACGACGUCAAGUCAUCAUGGCCCUUACGAUGGGCUACACACGUGCUACAAUGGCCGGUACAGAGGGCUGCAAUCUCGCGAGAGGGAGCUAAUCUCACAAAACCGGUCGUAGUCCGGAUCGGAGUCUGCACUCGACUCCGUGAAGUUGGAAUCGCUAGUAAUCGUGGAUCAGAAUGCCACGGUGAAUACGUUCCCGGGCCUUGUACACACCGCCC